GACGAACUGUCCAAACGUUGUUCGGAAUCACUGGGCUUAAAGGGCGCGUAGGCGGUCAAACAAGUCAGGGGUGAAAUCCUGCAGCUCAACUGUAGAAGUGCCUCUGAUACUGUUUGCCUAGAGGGAGAUAGGGGUGUGCGGAACUUCCAGUGGAGCGGUGAAAUGCGUUGAUAUUGGAAGGAACGCCGGAGGCGAAAGCGGCGCACUGGAUCUCUUCUGACGCUGAGGCGCGAAAGCUAGGGGAGCAAACGGG
This 253-nucleotide ribosomal RNA is filed under the name uncultured bacterium. RNAcentral's name for it is "partial 16S ribosomal RNA". It matches the Rfam family "Bacterial small subunit ribosomal RNA", at positions 524 to 776 of the family's 1533-position model. The record is from RNAcentral.